UGCUAAGUGAUCAACUCGAGACUGAAGUCUUUUCUUCAUCCAGAAAUCAGACACAGCGUGGUCAAGAGGUGCACAAGAUUCUUAGCUGCCUUGCAUUAUGUGAAGGAUCACCUAUUGAAUUGGAUAGCUUGCCUCCCUUGAGGGAAGGUCCUGCGAAGGAAGAAGGGAGGGGAGAUCCCAUAGCUUGGCAAGCAAAGCCCAUUCCAAGGACGACUGCAGCUGGAAGGGGUUGAAGGGUGUUGUGGGGAGUCCAGUGGGGCAGAAACCUGCCCAGCAACAGAUGUUCAGGAGCCCCCUGAGGAUCCAGGAUGGGACUCACAGAAGGCGGCUGUCAGCAGACUCCAACCCCCAACAAGUGAAGCAUCCCAUCAAGUUGUGGCAGACAAGAGACAACGAUCCACUGGAAAUUGCAGACAGCCACAUCACCUGAGACACCUUCCUGAUAUGACACAUGCACACCAGACCCUGUGGAGAUUCAGCCCCAGACCACACCAGGUGACUACCUGACAUCUCUGUGUUGUCUUACUGCCAU
Molecule: long non-coding RNA, 532 nt
Organism: Alligator sinensis (Chinese alligator)
Lineage: Eukaryota; Metazoa; Chordata; Crocodylia; Alligatoridae
Exons: 3
Source: RefSeq, a predicted model, not a curated record